Molecule: ribosomal RNA, 119 nt
Filed under: Paramormyrops kingsleyae
Lineage: Eukaryota; Metazoa; Chordata; Actinopteri; Osteoglossiformes; Mormyridae
Source: RNAcentral
GUCAACAGUCAUACCACCUGCAGUUCAGUCUAUGUACUCCAUCAGAAACCAAGCAGGUUUGGGCCUGACCGGUGCUUGUAUGGGAGACCAAACAGCUGAAAGCUGGGCUGCUGCUGAAA